Molecule: microRNA, 24 nt
Filed under: Triops cancriformis
Lineage: Eukaryota; Metazoa; Arthropoda; Branchiopoda; Notostraca; Triopsidae
Description: tcf-miR-10304
Source: miRBase by way of RNAcentral
GUAGAAGUUUUCGCCACCCCUGAA